UUCAUCACAAAGAUCUCACUGGUUCUGGUUAUGAGUUUGGGUUAGUCGUUCCAUCUUAACUUUUUCAUCAAAAAAACAAACAGUGCAAUUAUACAAUGAGCGUUACUUAGGGUGGAAAGACCAGAGGUUUUCACAAUCCAUUGGAGUGUUUUCUGCCAUGAUAUGAAAAAUACACAAAAUAGCUAUAAAGAACUGUAAUCAACUGGAGAAACUCAAACUGGUGACGUCAUGAAACAGGUUCAACUGAAUAUCUGACAUCCACACUAAAUUCCUAAUUGAAGAAAAAUUCUGCUGACUUGGUUAGAACCUGAGAGUUGGAAGCCAAAGAAAAGGUUACUCCUGAGUAGUAAAGGGUACUAAGAAUUAACAAUGAAGUUUCUACAAUAGAGAAUGGUUAAUUUUAGAUAUAGACAAUUUUGAUUGAAUUACAGAUAGAAUGAAAGAAAA
Molecule: long non-coding RNA, 447 nt
Organism: Mytilus californianus (California mussel)
Lineage: Eukaryota; Metazoa; Mollusca; Bivalvia; Mytilida; Mytilidae
Exons: 4
Source: RefSeq, a predicted model, not a curated record